AUCUGUGUCUAAACAUCCCAAAGGCACCAGAUCUCAUCUGAUUUUGGAAGCUAAGUAAGGUCAGUCUGGGUAGUACUUGGAUGGGAGACUACAAAUGAAUAUUAGGUGUUGCAGCCU
Molecule: ribosomal RNA, 117 nt
Filed under: Anolis carolinensis (green anole)
Lineage: Eukaryota; Metazoa; Chordata; Lepidosauria; Squamata; Anolidae
Source: RNAcentral